Long non-coding RNA from Mytilus californianus (California mussel), 1869 nucleotides. RefSeq lists it as uncharacterized. The record is from RefSeq and is a predicted model, not a curated record. Lineage: Eukaryota; Metazoa; Mollusca; Bivalvia; Mytilida; Mytilidae. The transcript is spliced from 3 exons.
AAAGACUGAUGUAAAUACCUUUUUAUAAUAAAAAAAGGCAAAAUACACAUUUAAGACAAUUCUGUUUCUUAAAAAAUCACUAAGGAGCCAAAGGUAAGGUGUUGCUUUAUUCUCUUAAUCUGUAAAUGAGUAUUAGAAAAAGGUAAUAGUUCACUAGAGGUUUCAUUCCAUAUCAACUGUCAUACACUGACAGCCUGCUUCUGAAAUUCGUUUUCUGAAAAAGGCAAGAAGCUUUACGUAUAUUUCUGAUUUUUCAUUCAAACUCAUUAAUUGGUUUUACCAGGGUAAGUCUUUUCCCCACAUACUAGACAAUGCAAACUAGGGGUAAAAGCAAGGCAAAAGAUGCCAAAGGACAUCCAAACUCACUAGUCGAAAAUAAACUCGCAAAAAUAGGAAAAAGACCAAAAAGACAAACAACAGCACAUAAGACACUUCAUAGAAAACUGAAGACUGAGCAACACGAACCACACCAAAAACAGGGGGUAAUUGCCGUUGCUCCGGAAUGGUUUAUACUGUGUUAGAAAUAGACAAAAUAUAGAACCAUAUGUUAAAAUGCUUCUGGUGUAAUCGCUGGGGAAUCAUAUUUGCAUGUUUAGAAAUUGAGUUUCGAUCGGAUUUUAAAAUUAGAAUUCAAAAUGUUGACACCUUACCAUCAAUUCAUCAGCAUCAACAGGAUGAUUGAUAACUUUGUCAAAUACUAUUCAGACUAAAAUUUAUUAACUAGAGAAAUAAACGGGUUUUUUGUGUAGUAGUAGUAUUAAGGCUUGUAAAGGCUUAAUUUUUGGCAUAUAGAUUUGAAAAUGUAUGUUAUUCGAAAAAUGUUGUUGAUUAAAGAUGUCAUCUUUGUAAACAAAAAAUGUUUACCACAAUCAUUAAUUGCGUUAAUUGUAUCUCAUUAUUUCAUAUUUAAAAAAAAAAGAAAAAAAAGAAAAACACGAGGUUUGCUUCUUUCUUUGGAAAUUUUUUAGUAUAUCUACAUGUAUACUUAGUGCGAUUAAUGUAUUUUGUGACAAACUCGUCAUUUUUUAUAUGAGGUAAUCAAGGUGUAGUUUACAUAUAUACAAAUCCAUGUAAUGAAUGCAAUUGAAAAAUAAAAUUGUUACAAGUUUUUUAGUGUUACAUUUUCAGAGGCAAAAAAUAUGAAAAAGAAAACAGAAGAAAGCUCUUAUGAAGACAUUGGAGAUGUUAAAAGCAUCAAAACUGAUAACAUUUACCAAAAUUGGACACCAACAGACAAUGAAUCACAAAGGCAUUACCAAGAAAAGAUAAUAUAUGAAAACUUGCAUCCUUAACCUUGUAACUUAAAUUUAUUUCAUUUUCUUGUUCAUUGACUUCUUUUUAUCUAUUUGUAUGCAGUUCUAUACAACUUGCAUAUAUUCAAAAGAGGGUAAAAUUGCCUUGAAAGAAAGGUAAAACAUGGCAUAAUAUGGGAUACUCGAUACUAGAAACAGGAAGAAGCUUUCAAAAAAAGAGUAAAUCAAAUAAAGUUUGUUUUACGGCAACUAUGAAGAUACUGAAAUUAACUGGAUGAACCAUAUACUAUGAAUAAAAAUUCAAAUGUUCGCAAAAACCUAGGGCUGGUAGAGUAACUUGACUAUAUGAAUUUUAUAAAUACAUAAUUAUGUACAUAAUCUUUCAAUUCAGGACCUAGUGAUGUUGCUUAUCUAUGUUAUUAAUAUACAAAUUUCAACAUACAUUUUUGUGUUGAAAUUAUGCACACAUGAUUUAAUUUGAAGUGUAAAUAUGUGUUAGAAUAUAAAUCUAUGUAUGAAACAUUGAAGGCUGCUUCUUUUAACAAACUAAUCAGUUUUACAAUAUAAGAUAUGCAGUCAUAGGUUUAGUUAUAGUAUUAAAAGUAUUUAAAGUUUA